Molecule: long non-coding RNA, 267 nt
Organism: Mytilus californianus (California mussel)
Lineage: Eukaryota; Metazoa; Mollusca; Bivalvia; Mytilida; Mytilidae
Exons: 2
Source: RefSeq, a predicted model, not a curated record
UAUUGAAAUAUUUAAAAGAUGGAUAUAUAUAUGGAUCAAUGUCAUAUAGCAAUGGGAGUUUACCGUUGAAGUUUCAAUGUUUUCUAUCCAAUUCUAAAGAUCCAGCAAAUAUGACAGAUAUUUAACAGAAUUAUAAAAAGUAAAAGAAAGUUGUAGUAAAGGAUGACCCUUAUUUCGAAAAUGAACCAUUCUGAAAACGCUGCAUACUAAAAGGAACUGAAAAAAAGAAAGAAAUCAGAAAAAAAUAAAAAUAAAUAAAAAAAAAAA